CGCAUCGCUGGUAGCUAUGAACGGCAGGGAUAAACGCUGAAAGCAUCUAAGUGUGAAGCCCCCCUCGAGAUGAGAUUUCCCAUUCCUAUAUGGAAGUAAGACCCCUGAGAGAUGAUCAGGUAGAUAGGCUGGAAGUGGAAGUGCAGCGAUGCAUGGAGCGGACCAGUACUAAUCGGUCGAGGACUUAACCAA
Molecule: ribosomal RNA, 192 nt
Filed under: Lacticaseibacillus paracasei
Lineage: Bacteria; Bacillati; Bacillota; Bacilli; Lactobacillales; Lactobacillaceae
Description: Lactobacillus paracasei partial 23S ribosomal RNA
Rfam family: Bacterial large subunit ribosomal RNA
Source: RNAcentral